Molecule: long non-coding RNA, 268 nt
Organism: Gambusia affinis (western mosquitofish)
Lineage: Eukaryota; Metazoa; Chordata; Actinopteri; Cyprinodontiformes; Poeciliidae
Exons: 2
Source: RefSeq, a predicted model, not a curated record
AGGAGAGGGAGGAGAGGGAAGAGAGGCAAGAGAGGGAGGAGAGGGAAGAGAGGGCGAAGGCAGAGGCGAUUAAGGUUGCCGUAGCCUUGUGAAUGAAAAUUGUGCUCAGAGCAGUAAACUGUUGUCUGCCAGCCUGGAGCAAAUAGAAGAGCAAACUACUGACUCAUGAAGAAGCUGAGAUUUCUGAACUCGAAUGGACAACCUGACCUUCCAUUGUCUGCCUUUACUCAAAAUGUCUCUGAUCAUAAAAGAAAACUCUUCAUAUCAA